Molecule: ribosomal RNA, 89 nt
Filed under: Gemmatimonadota bacterium
Lineage: Bacteria; Pseudomonadati; Gemmatimonadota
Source: RNAcentral
CCGAUCCCAUUCCGAACUCGGUAGUUAAGCCCCACCGCGCGGAUGGUACUGCCAGGGCGACCUGGUGGGAGAGUACGUCGCCGCCGAUC